AGAAGGGAAUUCCUGGUGUAGCGGUGGAAUGCGCAGAUAUCAGGAGGAACACCGAUGGCGAAGGCACUUCUCUGGUCCGUAACUGACGCUGAGGAGUGAAAGCGUGGGGAGCGAACAGGAUUAGAUACCCUGGUAGUCCACGCUGUAAACGGUGGGUGCUAGUUGUGGGUCACAUUCCACGUGAUCCGUGACGCAGCUAACGCAUUAAGCACCCCGCCUGGGGAGUACGGUCGCAAGACUAAAACUCAAAGGAAUUGACGGGGACCCGCACAAGCGGUGGAUGAUGUGGUUUAAUUAGAUGCAACGCGAAAAACCUUACCCACCUUUGACAUGUACGGAAGGAUCCAGAGAUGGAUUUGUGCUCGAAAGAGAACCGUAACACAGGUGCUGCAUGGCUGUCGUCAGCUCGUGUCGUGAGAUGUUGGGUUAAGUCCCGCAACGAGCGCAACCCUUGUCAUUAGUUGCUACAUUUAGUUGGGCACUCUAGUGAGACUGCCGGUGACAAACCGGAGGAAGGUGGGGAUGACGUCAAGUCCUCAUGGCCCUUAUAGGUGGGGCUACACACGUCAUACAAUGGCUGGUACAAAGGGUUGCCAACCCGCGAGGGGGAGCUAAUCCCAUAAAACCAGUCGUAGUCCGGAUCGCAGUCUGCAACUCGACUGCGUGAAGUCGGAAUCGCUAGUAAUCGUGGAUCAGAAUGUCACGGUGAAUACGUUCCCGGGUCUUGUACACACCGCCCGUCACACCAUGGGAGCGGGUUCUGCCAGAAGUAGUUAGCCUAACCGCAA
RNAcentral lists this ribosomal RNA (788 nucleotides) under uncultured beta proteobacterium. RNAcentral's name for it is "bacterial SSU rRNA". It matches the Rfam family "Bacterial small subunit ribosomal RNA", at positions 658 to 1444 of the family's 1533-position model. The record is from RNAcentral. Lineage: Bacteria; Pseudomonadati; Pseudomonadota; Betaproteobacteria.